Molecule: ribosomal RNA, 614 nt
Filed under: uncultured cyanobacterium
Lineage: Bacteria; Bacillati; Cyanobacteriota
Description: bacterial SSU rRNA
Rfam family: Bacterial small subunit ribosomal RNA
Source: RNAcentral
GAAUCUGGCUUCGGGUUCGGGACAACAGUGGGAAACUGCUGCUAAUACCGGAUGUGCCGCAAGGUAAAAGAUUAAUUGCCUGAAGGUGAGCUCGCGUCCGAUUAGCUAGUUGGUGUGGUAAGAGCGCACCAAGGCGUCGAUCGGUAGCUGGUCUGAGAGGACGAUCAGCCACACUGGGACUGAGACACGGCCCAGACUCCUACGGGAGGCAGCAGUGGGGAAUUUUCCGCAAUGGGCGAAAGCCUGACGGAGCAAUACCGCGUGAGGGAGGAAGGCUCUUGGGUUGUAAACCUCUUUUCUCAGGGAAGAAUGAUGACGGUACCUGAGGAAUAAGCAUCGGCUAACUCCGUGCCAGCAGCCGCGGUAAUACGGAGGAUGCAAGCGUUAUCCGGAAUGAUUGGGCGUAAAGCGUCCGCAGGUGGCAAUGUAAGUCUGCUGUCAAAGCGUCUGGCUCAACCAGAUAAAGGCAGUGGAAACUACAUAGCUAGAGUAAGGUAGGGGUAGAGGGAAUUCCUGGUGUAGCGGUGAAAUGCGUAGAGAUCAGGAAGAACACCGGUGGCGAAAGCGCUCUGCUGGACCUUAACUGACACUGAGGGACGAAAGCUAGGGGAGCG